This 937-nucleotide long non-coding RNA is filed under the name Heterocephalus glaber (naked mole-rat). Its description in RNAcentral is "lncRNA (ENSHGLG00100032938.1)". Lineage: Eukaryota; Metazoa; Chordata; Mammalia; Rodentia; Bathyergidae. The record is from RNAcentral.
CUCAGUGGUUCCGGCGCCUGCCUGGCAAGCUCAAAGUCCGGAGUUUGAUCCCCAGUAGCAAACAAAACAAAACAAAACGAACAAAAAAUCUACUAUCUAUUGAACAAAGCAUUGAACCAGGCACAGUGUUUUGUAUUUUGCAUUUAUUAUCUCGUCUAAUGCUAAUAGCAACUUCCGGCAAGAAAACUGAAUAAACAAAAAUUGGAUAACCAAGUUACCCAGAUGAUGAAUGCACUCACCUAUGGUCUCGUGAUCAGCAGUCAGAGGGAGACAAGGCCAAGACCUGAUUUACAGAUGGCUCUGCACAUUAUGAAGGCACCACCAAAAAGUGGACAGCAGCAGCACUACAGCUCCUUUCCAGGACAUCCCUGAAGGACAAUAGUGAAGGGAAAUCAUCAUGGCUUCUAGUCCGGACCUACUGAGCAAACCCUUCAGCUUUCUGACAUGGACACACACAGGACUCUACACUGAGCUCCAGACCUUCAGCCUUCAACUGGAUCCUCUGACUCUCCAGUUACAGAUGACGCUUUUGCUAUCUUCUACCCUUGACUCCACAGGCAGCCACUAUGAAAAAUGUGAUAGAAAUAAGAGACCCAGAGGAGAUCUGAUAUUCACUAAGCUAUAUGGACCAUGUGAUAGAAAUACUCAGAAUGGAUGGAGAUUAGGAGGAGACCUUCUCCUGAUCAGGCUGUAAACCUAAGAAAAACUUCAGUCCCCGUGGUGCUUCAUCCAACAUGACACUUCAGCAAUAGAGAAAUAAAUAAAUGAGGUUCCUGGCCAAUUGGGCCUAAGAAAACACCUUGUUUCCAGGGCCAGAAUGUGACUAGAGUGGUCACAGAAGAUACUUCAGGGUGUUGACUGUCAAGCUCAUGAGAAGUUCAUCAGUGUCACAGUUGAGGUGAGUUCCUCAGCAGAGGACCACAAAGAAACUACCAAC